AAUAGAUACCCGGGUAGUCCAUGCUGUAAACGAUGAGAACUAGAUGUUAGGGGGCAUGACCUCUUAGUAUCGAAGCUAACGCGAUAAGUUCUCCGCCUGGGGAGUACGGCCGCAAGGUUAAAACUCAAAGAAAUUGACGGGGGCCCGCACAAGCGGUGGAGCAUGUGGUUUAAUUCGAUGCAACGCGAAGAACCUUACCUACCUUUGAAUCCACGGAACCUAGCAGAGAUGUUGGGGUGCCUUCGGGAACCGUGAGACAGGUGCUGCAUGGCUGUCGUCAGCUCGUGUCGUGAGAUGUUGGGUUAAGUCCCGUAACGAGCGCAACCCUUGUCCUUAGUUGCCAUCAGGUUAAGCUGGGCACUUUAAGGAGACUGCCGGUGAUAAACCGGAGGAAGGUGGGGAUGACGUCAAGUCCUCAUGGCCCUUACAGGUAGGGCUACACACGUGCUACAAUGGGCAGUACAGAGGGAAGCCAACCCGGCGAGGGGGGAGCGAAUCUCAUAAAGCUGUUCGUAGUCCGGAUUGGAGUCUGCAACUCGACUCC
This 544-nucleotide ribosomal RNA is filed under the name uncultured bacterium. Its description in RNAcentral is "bacterial SSU rRNA". It matches the Rfam family "Bacterial small subunit ribosomal RNA", at positions 777 to 1319 of the family's 1533-position model. The record is from RNAcentral.